Long non-coding RNA from Dermochelys coriacea (leatherback sea turtle), 291 nucleotides. RefSeq lists it as uncharacterized. Lineage: Eukaryota; Metazoa; Chordata; Testudines; Dermochelyidae. The transcript is spliced from 3 exons. The record is from RefSeq and is a predicted model, not a curated record.
UCUCUAAACUUUUUGAAUCACGCACCCCCUGGGCCAGCUCUGGGAAAGGAAAAAAAAAAAAAAAAGAAGAGCUGCCGCCGGCAUGCCACUGAAGACGGAAUGGGGAGAGCCGAGCUGCCGCCGGCAUGCCGCCAAAGAAUCAAAGGUCCAAGAGCGCUGCUGCUGCCAUGCCGGCGGUGCUUCUUUGGCGGUGCUCCUCCUGCCGCGCACCCCCAGGGAUGGUCUUGCGCACCCCCUGGGGUGCGCGCACCUCACUUUGGAGACCACUGAUCUAGACUGUAAAAUAGGGCA